AACGCUGGCGGCGUGCCUAACACAUGCAAGUCGAACGGACUUACAUUGAAGCCUAGCGAUAUGUAAGUUAGUGGCGGACGGGUGAGUAACGCGUGGGUAACCUGCCUUGUACUGGGGGACAACAGUUGGAAACGACUGCUAAUACCGCAUAAGCGCACAGCUUCGCAUGAAGCAGUGUGAAAAACUCCGGUGGUACAAGAUGGACCCGCGUCUGAUUAGCUGGUUGGUGAGGUAACGGCCCACCAAGGCGACGAUCAGUAGCCGGCCUGAGAGGGUGAACGGCCACAUUGGGACUGAGACACGGCCCAAACUCCUACGGGAGGCAGCAGUGGGGAAUAUUGCACAAUGGGGGAAACCCUGAUGCAGCAACGCCGCGUGAGUGAAGAAGUAUUUCGGUAUGUAAAGCUCUAUCAGCAGGAAAGAAAAUGACGGUACCUGACUAAGAAGCCCCGGCUAACUACGUGCCAGCAGCCGCGGUAAUACGUAGGGGGCAAGCGUUAUCCGGAUUUACUGGGUGUAAAGGGAGCGUAGACGGUUUUGCAAGUCUGAAGUGAAAGCCCGGGGCUUAACCCCGGGACUGCUUUGGAAACUGUAGGACUAGAGUGCAGGAGAGGUAAGUGGAAUUCCUAGUGUAGCGGUGAAAUGCGUAGAUAUUAGGAGGAACACCAGUGGCGAAGGCGGCUUACUGGACUGUAACUGACGUUGAGGCUCGAAAGCGUGGGGAGCAAACAGGAUUAGAUACCCUGGUAGUCCACGCCGUAAACGAUGAUUACUAGGUGUUGGUGGGUAUGACCCAUCGGUGCCGCAGCAAACGCAAUAAGUAAUCCACCUGGGGAGUACGUUCGCAAGAAUGAAACUCAAAGGAAUUGACGGAAGG
RNAcentral lists this ribosomal RNA (877 nucleotides) under uncultured bacterium. RNAcentral describes it as "bacterial SSU rRNA". It matches the Rfam family "Bacterial small subunit ribosomal RNA", at positions 32 to 920 of the family's 1533-position model. The record is from RNAcentral.